This 601-nucleotide ribosomal RNA is filed under the name Streptomyces sp. 7CM12. Its description in RNAcentral is "bacterial SSU rRNA". It matches the Rfam family "Bacterial small subunit ribosomal RNA", at positions 162 to 777 of the family's 1533-position model. Lineage: Bacteria; Bacillati; Actinomycetota; Actinomycetes; Kitasatosporales; Streptomycetaceae. The record is from RNAcentral.
UCUAAUACCGGAUAUGACCGUCCAUCGCAUGGUGGAUGGUGUAAAGCUCCGGCGGUGCAGGAUGAGCCCGCGGCCUAUCAGCUAGUUGGUGAGGUAGUGGCUCACCAAGGCGACGACGGGUAGCCGGCCUGAGAGGGCGACCGGCCACACUGGGACUGAGACACGGCCCAGACUCCUACGGGAGGCAGCAGUGGGGAAUAUUGCACAAUGGGCGAAAGCCUGAUGCAGCGACGCCGCGUGAGGGAUGACGGCCUUCGGGUUGUAAACCUCUUUCAGCAGGGAAGAAGCGAAAGUGACGGUACCUGCAGAAGAAGCGCCGGCUAACUACGUGCCAGCAGCCGCGGUAAUACGUAGGGCGCAAGCGUUGUCCGGAAUUAUUGGGCGUAAAGAGCUCGUAGGCGGCUUGUCACGUCGGUUGUGAAAGCCCGGGGCUUAACCCCGGGUCUGCAGUCGAUACGGGCAGGCUAGAGUUCGGUAGGGGAGAUCGGAAUUCCUGGUGUAGCGGUGAAAUGCGCAGAUAUCAGGAGGAACACCGGUGGCGAAGGCGGAUCUCUGGGCCGAUACUGACGCUGAGGAGCGAAAGCGUGGGGAGCGAACAGGA